UUUUCAUCUUUGUUUUGAUUAAUGUUCUUGUAUUUUCAGAUCUACAAUUUCUUCUCUUCUGUAUAUUAGUUUUUGUUCCUUUUUUUCAUUUUCGUUUCGUUUUUUUUAUUAUUUUGGGUUUAGUAUUUUCAUUUUCGUUUCGUUUCUCUUAUCUUCUGUUUGAUUUCUGAAAAUGUGAGAUUAUGAGUAAAAAAAUGUCAAAAAAAUUUUUUUUUUUAUUUUUUUUUUGGUAGGAAGGGCUGCGCUUUUACCUAAAAAGCGCAGCCCUUCUAAGCUAGAAGGGCUGCACUUUUCUAGCGCAGCCCUACUUAAAAAAGUGAAGGGCUGCUGUCAAAAAGCGCAGCCCUACAGGCCUUUUUCAGCGCAACCCUUCUUCAUUUUUCCACUAGCGAGUUUUUAUUUUUUUUAGACUGCAUUUUGUUUCAGUAGGUAUUAAUUUAUUUUUCCGUUUGUUUGUUUGUGUUUUAAUUUGGUUAUUUUUCUGUUUCAGUUAGUGUAUGUUUCUUGUCAGUUAGUAUCUGUUUCUAUUUCAGUUAGUAUCUGUUUCUAUUUCAGUUAGUAUAUGUUUCUUGUCAGUUAGUAUUAGUUUAUGUUUCAGUUAGCGUAUGUUUCUUGUCAGGUAGUAUCUGUUUCUCUUUUAGUUAGUGUAUGUUUCUUGUCAGUUAGUAUUAGUUUAUGUUUCAGUUAGUGUAUGUUUCUUGUCAGUUAGUAUCUGUUUCUAUUUCAGUUAGUGUAUGUUUCUUGUCAGUUAGUAUUAGUUUAUGUUUCAGUUAGUAUAUCUGUCAUUUUUGUUUAAGUAUUUUUUUCAUAUUUUAAUGCAAUGCAGGGUGAUGGCUCUUAUUCUUCUCUUGAUUAGUCAUCAUACAAAUCGUACAUACCUAAGAAUCAUUCAAAGUCAGAAAUUCUUUCAACACCUGAAUUAUUGAAGGGGUGGGACUAUGACUAUAAUUCGGAGAAAUCUGAAAAAGUUUCGAGAGGUGGAGGAAAAAGGUGAUGAUUUUGAGGAUGAUGAUUUGGAUAAAAUCAUUGACAAGAUUGCAAAAUAUGGAGCUGAUUAUGGAGACCCAAAAAAGAAGAGGAUGUGAAGAAAGAUAUUGAAGACGUAGCUGGUGUUGGUUCUUCUUCUGCACCUGGUUUGCAGGCUAUCCCUGUCAAUAAUCAUGGCCUAAUCUUGUGUCGAAGCUUGCAACGAUAUAACAAGUACCUGAAUGAUCUUUCUCCUGAAAACGUGUUGCUGGUUGAUUAUCUCUUCUACAAUGAGUUUAACGACGUUUCAAGGCUCUCAUUGACAAAUUCUGAACCUACAAAGAUGAAGAAUUUGAUUCUGCAAGAUGAACUACAAAGUGAUGUCAUUGUGGACUUCGAGAAUCACGACAACAACUACUCGGUUCAGUUGUACAAGUUCGACCUUGUUAGCAUGCCUCGUCACGGUUGGUUGACUAGUGGAGUUAUUGAUGGAUGCGCAUAUAUGUUUAAUAGGCAAGAAGAGGAAUCACCUUCUGCAACGAGGAGAUUUUGGUUUAAUUUGAUACCUUUUGUAAGUGUUUCUAUCUAAUAUAGUUUUAUUUUUUCAGUAAGUUUUUCAAUUCUUUUUAUUUUUCACUUAUGUUGAUGGUGUACUACGUGGUUAGUGUUAUGGCUUAGUUUUAUUUGCUCUUAUUUUUAUUUCAGUUGGUCAUAUUCUAUUUUCAUUUUGUUUUAUACAUCUACUUUCAGUUGGUCAUAUUAUUUUUUCAGUUGGUCAUCUUCUGUUUUCAGUUUGUCAUAUUAUGUUUUCAUCUGUUUUCAGUUGGUUAUUUAGUAUCUGUUUUCUUUUGUUGCAGAACUGUAUGAAUUGGUUGUGUGAAGAGAAGGCAAAAAGGUUGAGUUUGAUAGUGAAAUUGCUGAAAAUGAGAUUAUUUUGAAGAAGUUGGAGGGCACUAGUGAAUAUGAUGAGAAAUUGAAAGAAUGGGAAGAGAAGAAGAAAAAGUUGGUUACAAAAGAAGAUGAUUUAAUCUUCAAGAAAUGUAAUGACACUCUUUCUGCAUGGGUGAAAACAUUUCCAAGGAACGAUAUUCGACAAGCUGAUCUGAUUUUUGUUCCUGUUCACAAGGAUGAUCAUUAUACUGUUUUGGUGCUCAACAAGAAAGCUAAAAGGAUUGAAAACAUUGACAAUCGUAUAGACAUGAAGGAUAUUGAGAGAUAUAUAUAUAUUUAUGAGGGAUUUAACAGUCUUACAUACUUUGUACGUACCCUUUUGUGAUGGGAUUGUUUUUUAUUUCAUUUUGUUACUUGUUUUUUUAAUGGUUCUUUACUUUUUCAUCUUCAAAUGCAGUGUCGUGUUUUUGAUGCUUUUAUGCAAGGUGGUAAUAUGAGAUGUCGUGAUUUUGAUCAUCUCCAACAUUGGGAGAAAGUGACUCUUUUUUUCCCUUGGAGAAACAAGGAAAACAAUCAUGAUUGUGGUGUGUAUGCAAUCAAGUGUAUGGAGCUGUACGAUGGUGAAAAUGCGAACGAGUUUCCACUUGUUGACCUGAAAAGGGCAGCCAACAAAAACUUUCAGCGGUGCAAGCUUGCACUUCGUCUAGUGGAACAUCCUUUAAACAAAUUAAAAGACAAAGUGAAGCGUGAUUGUUAUGUUUGGUUAGCAAAGAAGCUUGAACUUAUUGCAAGACAAAAGUUAAGGAAGGAAAAAGAGGAUCUUCUUAAUAGAUUAGCAAUUAAUCGAUCAAAGAGGACGAAUAGAGAAGAUCCAUUAAUUUUAGAGUGAAGGAGGAAGCACGAGGAGGAAGUCGAAGCAGUGUUGAAUGAUCACUAUGAAGACAAAGACAAAUUAAACAAACUGUUGAAUUUUCGUUAUUCUUAGUUGCCAAACUGUCUUUUUUUUUUUGUAAUGUACAGUAGAAAUAACACACAACUCAAUUUUGUAAUGUACAGUAGAAAUAGCACACAACUCAAUUGAUAUUUUUAAUGUUUAGAAUUGUACAUUUACACUUACUAUGAGUGGAAUACAUUCGUGUAAAUGAAAUUGUUUGAGA
This is a long non-coding RNA of Beta vulgaris subsp. vulgaris (sugar beet), 3014 nucleotides long. RefSeq lists it as uncharacterized. The transcript has 3 exons. The record is from RefSeq and is a predicted model, not a curated record. Lineage: Eukaryota; Viridiplantae; Streptophyta; Magnoliopsida; Caryophyllales; Amaranthaceae.